UUGAAAAUAAUGAGUGCCGUUGAACCUCCUACUGUAUCAUAUAUGAUGACGCUCAUUCACACUGUCAGAUCCAAUCCCCUGAGCAGGAGAAGCAACCAAUCUAUGCUUGCGAUCAUCCUCCCAUCAAGUGAAAGAAAGAUUAUCUCUUCUUUUGGAGGAGAGAAGUAAGCACGGUCUGUACAGGCUCCAUUACUCACCUGGCACUGCUGACUUGAGAGGUUUGGCGGUUGACUUCAUGACAGACGACUGCGCUGUUGUCAUAUUCUCACUUCUCCGUGGCAAGACAUUCAGCAACAUUCAGCAACUCAGCACAGUACAGCACAGCUGUACAGAGGUCUUCACUGGGCCUGUAUCUCUGAGCUGCCAGCCCACCUUCUGUACAUAGUGCCUGGCAGAGAGCCUAAACGCUGGCCACCAGUUCUUUCCAGUGUGCAGGAGACAGAUCACAGAGGAGAACCUUCAGGUCAACAGAAUCCUGAGAGACUUGACACGGGAGCUGAGACAGAGAAGGGAGGUCAGAGGUCAUGUCAGGCCAGCAGGGGACAUGUGCCCUGAACAUGAGGAGCCUCUAAAACUGGUCUGUGUCAUGCAGCGACCUGGUCUGUCUGGUCUGCACCAAGGGGAGAUAUCACAUAGCCCACUCCUUCAAACCACUGAACGAGUUGGAGGAGGAUUUCAAGAAGGAGCAGGCCUCAAACUUGGAUAUCCUGGACAAAAAGAUUGCUGAAGUUAAUCAGCUUCGCCACAGCCAACAGAAUGAAAUCACCGUUGCCGCCAAUAUCAAAGCCCAGAUCCACUAUCAGGUUGAAGACCUGAUCAGAGAGCUGAGAAUGGGAGAGAGCCAGACAGUCCAAGACGUGGAUAAGAAAAAUUGCUGUCAACAUGGAGAAUAAUUUAACUGUCUGGCUGAAGCCUACACCCAAAAGACAGAUAUGCUAUAUUUGCUGACCAACCCAGAGCCCAGAGCCGCGCUUCAGUGGUUUACUGAACAAAGGAAUUUCUUAAAUAUAUCCAAGGCAUCAUCACUGUACAAAUGGUUGAAGUUCACUGUGCAUCCUAAAACUCGGGUUGUCAGAGGACCUGUCUGGUCACAUCAACUGGAAGAGAAUAGAAAGAGAGACUGGCUUAACGAAGGAGGAGGUAUUCAUGACCAUUUUAACCAUAGUAUUCGCUGUAAUAUUAACUGCUUUUUGGACAUAUUCUAGUACACUUUCGAUCAUAGGUAUUGUGGGAAUAAUUCUAGAAAAAAUACAAGGAACUCAUCACGGAUUCCGGUUGGUAUCAGAGUUGGUGUCAAUUUCAUUUCAAUUCCAGACAUUCAAUUCCAGAAAGUAAACCAAAUUCCUUUUUUUUAUUUUUAUUGUCCUAAUUGAAAAGUUUUUAAGAGAAUUGGAAUUGGAAUUUCUGUGUACUUCCUGAAUUUAAUGGAAUUUAAAUGGAAUUGACCCAGACCAUGGUUGAUACGCAUGACAAAGAUUCAAUUAAAUUAUUGUAAUGACAAACUGUUAUUGGCCUGUCUAUUGAAGGAAGCAAUUGUAAGUGACCUACUUGUUUUUUUAUAAAUGAAAAACGAUUGUUGCGUGAAAUAUUUGAUAAUUGUGAUACUUUUAUCCUUCUGGUUGAGAAAGGGAGGACAGUGUGUGAGUGUAUUGAUGUGUACAAUUGUGAAUUGUGAAUUUAAAAUUUUUUUGUUAAUUCAGAUGGCACUAACCUACAUUUUUCAUGGCAGGGAAUAAAAAUAUUGUGUUAAAGUUGAAAUCGAUUAGCUGAUUGGUUCAGGGUGAUGCGAUUACUCUAUGUAUUCUUGAAACGAUAUAACUUCGUAAUAGUACACUUUAUGAAAGAAGCACAGACAUCUGUUUUUGGGUUAAUAUCAACAUUUGUAUACAGUGCAUAUUCAAUUCUGGAGAGAAACAUUUUAUUUUUGUACAUCCUGACAUAGCACAUUUGCUAAAAUGUCUAAAAACCUGUUUUC
Coregonus clupeaformis (lake whitefish) is the source of this 1975-nucleotide long non-coding RNA. RefSeq lists it as uncharacterized. The record is from RefSeq and is a predicted model, not a curated record. NCBI's taxonomy places the organism in Eukaryota, Metazoa, Chordata, Actinopteri, Salmoniformes, Salmonidae. The transcript has 3 exons.